Molecule: long non-coding RNA, 130 nt
Organism: Sapajus apella (tufted capuchin)
Lineage: Eukaryota; Metazoa; Chordata; Mammalia; Primates; Cebidae
Exons: 3
Source: RefSeq, a predicted model, not a curated record
CUGGGCAACAGAGUGAGACUCCGUCUCAAAAAAAGAGGAUACAAUAGUGCCUAUGAUACAUUCACUGUUGGCUAAAAUCACCUUGCUAAAGGCACUGUCAAAACUGAAGUAUAUUUUGAGGUGUUCAGUG